RNAcentral lists this long non-coding RNA (1021 nucleotides) under Homo sapiens (human). Its description in RNAcentral is "HSALNT0059782". Lineage: Eukaryota; Metazoa; Chordata; Mammalia; Primates; Hominidae. The record is from RNAcentral.
UCUCUUUUCGGACUCAGCCCGCCUGCACCCAGGUGAAAUAAACAGCCGUGUUGCUCACACAAAGCCUGUUUGGUGGUCUCUUCACAUGGACUCCAGUGAAACUUUCCAUUAGGGAGACACAACAGGUUGGCCUGGCAGGAUUUCAUAUCAGGGAGGCCCCAGGUAUGAGCUGACAUGCACUGGUUGGCAUUCAUGUCCUGACACAUGAUCAUAAAAAAUUUUUUUAGAAAACGUGGGUGAUGAGCUGCACUGCACCUUAAGGACCCAGGAGGAUGGGAAGCCAGGGAUACUUGGGUUUCCCUCCCACUCAGCACCUUUUCUUAGGGUCUCUUUUCAGCUCAAGCCACAAGGACUGUAGGCGUGAUUUCAGUUGGGAGACAUCCCCCAUUGGAUGGCACUGGAGUUGAAGAGGGGAAGAAGGCAAUAGAAGUGAGGAAGAGUGCUCAAUGGUGCCCAGGCUGGAGUGCAGUGGCGUGAUCUCGGCUCGCUACAACAUCCACCUCCCAGCAGCCUGCCUUGGCCUCCCAAAGUGCCGAGAGUGCAGCCUCUGCCCCGCCGCCACCCCGUCUGGGAAGUGAGGAGCGUCUCUGCCUGGCCGCCCAUCGUCUGGGAUGUGAGGAGCCCCUCUGCCUGGCUGCCCAGUCUGGAAAGUGAGGAGCGUCUCUGCCCAGCCGCCACCCCAUCUAGGAAGUGAGGAGCGCCUCUUCCCAGCCGCCAUCCCAUCUAGGAAGUGAGGAGCGUCUCUGCCCGGCCGCCCCGUCUAAGUGAGGAGACCCUCUGCCUGGCAACCGCCCUGUCUGAGAAGUGAGGAGCCCCUCCGCCCAGCAGCCGCCCCGUCUGAGAAGUGAGGAGCCCCUCCGCCCGGCAGCCACCCCGUCUGGGAAGUGAGGAGCGUCUCCGCCCGGCAGCCACCCCAUCCGGGAGGGAGGUGGGGGGGUCAGCCCCCCGCCCGGCCAGCCGCCCCAUCCGGGAGGUGAGGGGCGCCUCUGCCCAGCCGCCCCUACUGGGAAGUGAGGAGCCC